CAUGACGAAGAUCCCGAGACACUAAUUCAGUCGGCAGAGAAACCAAAAGGAGAUUCACACAAUGGCCCAAUGAGUGAAGGCCUCUUUAUUUCGUGCUCUGCUGUUCCUUUAAAACCCAAUCAAAGAGCGAGUCUCAGCCUGCGUUCGUCGGCGUUCGUACUCUAAGCCAAUCAGAAAAGCUGACUCCUAAGAUUGUGUCGCCUGGUCUCUGAGCGUCCCGCGGGCUCCGGGACGGGUAAACGGCGGGCCUCCGAGCUUCAGGUGAAGAGGCAAGAAUUAUCAAUGGCCCUGACUGGUGUGGCUCCGUUGGUUAGGUGUCCUCCUGCAAAGCGACAGGUUGCCUGUUUGGUUCCUGGUCAGGGCACAAGCCUACAAGCAGUGCAUCAAAGAUGACUUCAGAUCAGUCAAAGGGAAACUGAAGAACAGAGUGCAGAAAUACUGAAGCCACUGACGACAGGGGCUGUGGAGCAAGUCCAGCACAGCCUCGAUAAUUUCGAAACCUGCGGGUCCUUUAUGGCAAAAAUGUGAAUCCAGGUGGUAUGAUUGAUCUGCUGAACCACCAGAGGGUGGUGUGACCUCACGCUGAUUUUCUUUGAGGACGGUUUAGAAAUGGGGAAAUGUGAACAAAUUGGGCAAUUUGGAUCUAUCACCUGUCAUCAUAACCGACCUCUGUUUUUCAUCCACACACCAGAGCUAGGAUAAAUGGGACUGAUGUUACCAUGAACCCUUCAUUUAUUUUAACCUUCGUUUAUUUGGAGCAGAGGCAUUAUUUUGAAGAAAAAAUAUGUCAUGUAGGUUGUCUGAAAAUAAAAUGCAUUUUAAGCUAAUAAGUGGCUUUCCAAAGAAUUUGCCAUGAUGGGUUAUCUGCUUUUGUUUGUGGCCCAGACUCCCAGAGAUCUUAAGUCACAAAACUGGAUAUGACUUUCAGUUCAAACAGCUGCAGUCAUGGAUGUUGGAGAAAGAAUUGUAAAGGAGGUGUUGUCCAGAAGAAGCCUGGGAAGUUAAUAAGAAGAGAAAGAAGCCAUAUAAAGGCUUUAAAUCAAGUUGUUUCUUUCUCCAUGAAAUACAGUUAAGGAAAAAGAAAAUGUAUGAAAUGGAAAAGCAUUUUCCAUCAAACAUUGUUACUUUAAGAAAACACCCUUGUGGCCCUGGCUGGGUAGCUCAGUUGGUUAGAGCAUCAUCCUGACAUGCCAAGGUUGCAAGUUCAAUCCCCAGUGGGACACACAGAAGAAUCAACCAGUGAAUGCAUAAAUAAGUGGAACAUCAAAAAUUGAUGGGUCUGUCUCUCUCUCCUCCCUCUCUACCUUUUUCCCUCCUUCUCAAAUCAAUUAAAAGAAUUUAAGA
Molecule: RNA transcript, 1344 nt
Organism: Artibeus jamaicensis (Jamaican fruit-eating bat)
Lineage: Eukaryota; Metazoa; Chordata; Mammalia; Chiroptera; Phyllostomidae
Gene name: 40S ribosomal protein S27-like
Exons: 2
Source: RefSeq, a predicted model, not a curated record